Molecule: transfer RNA, 72 nt
Filed under: Marmota monax (woodchuck)
Lineage: Eukaryota; Metazoa; Chordata; Mammalia; Rodentia; Sciuridae
Rfam family: tRNA
About the family: Transfer RNA (tRNA) molecules are approximately 80 nucleotides in length.
Source: Rfam by way of RNAcentral
UGGGGUGUGGCUCAGUGGUAGAGUGCUUGCCUAGCAUGUGUGAGGCACUGGGUUCAAUCUUCAGCAUCACAU